RNAcentral lists this long non-coding RNA (19859 nucleotides) under Vigna radiata. RNAcentral's name for it is "long non-coding RNA (VRAD_LNC001466)". Lineage: Eukaryota; Viridiplantae; Streptophyta; Magnoliopsida; Fabales; Fabaceae. The record is from RNAcentral.
AUGUUUACAAGUCACCACCACCACCAUCUCCUUCCCCACCACCUCCAUAUGUUUACAAGUCACCACCACCACCAUCUCCUUCCCCACCACCUCCAUAUGUUUACGAGUCCCCACCUCCUCCAUCUCCUUCCCCUCCACCUCCUUAUGUUUACAAGUCUCCACCUCCACCAUCACCUUCACCUCCCCCACCUUACAUCUACAAAUCCCCACCACCACCAUCUCCCCCUCCUCCACCUACAUAUUUUUAUAAGUCACCACCCCCACCAUCUCCUUCGCCACCUCCCCCAUAUUACUACAAGUCUCCACCCCCACCUUCCCCCUCUCCUCCUCCACCAUAUGUUUACAAGUCUCCACCUCCUCCUUCACCUUCUCCACCUCCUCCCUAUGUAUAUAAGUCUCCUCCUCCACCUUCUCCCUCGCCUCCUCCACCAUACUAUUACAAGUCACCACCACCUCCUUCUCCUUCACCACCACCAUAUUACUACAAGUCUCCACCCCCACCUCCUAAGUAUUAAGCUUGCGGCUAAAUCAAUGUCAAUAUUUUCAUUACGUUCAACAUUGUUGCCAUUAAUUUGUAAUGCUAUGAAUUUCUUCAUAAUAAGGCCUGUGCCGAAGUAAUCCUUCUUUUGGAUAUACUGUAGACAUGUUUGUUUAUUGUUGUCAGUUCAGAAGUGUGCCUUAAUCUCUUUCUCCAAUAUACAUUUACCAUCAUACUUUAUUCUUGGUAUUCAUUCUCCUCUUUGCUUUUUGAAGUUAUGAUGAUGGCAUUCGUGAAAUAUUGAUAAAUGGAAAUUUUCUCAUUCACAUCUUGUCCAUCUCUAUUCUUGGUUUUCAUUCUCCUCUUUGCACUUUGAAGUUAUGAUGAUGGCAUUCGUGAAACAUCGAUAAAUGGAAAAUUUUCAUUCACAUCUUCUUCUCCAUCUCUACAUGCACACACAUACAUGUGAGUCUUGAUCAUAAUUAAACAACAAAUAAUAAUAAAGAAAUAAGACACUGUGCGUGCAAGUAUUCAAGAAAUAGUUACAAAUAUACAGUGGCUUAAUAAACUAAAUAUUAUGUAUAGUAUAAUAGGUUAAAGAAUCACUGUAAUAUUAAAAAAAAAAUCAAUAAAGAAAUUAGUAAAUAUUUUUAUUGACUUAGUUUUAUAAGGCAAUAUACAAGCAUAAUAUACUAAUCUAUAAUCAGCAUUUACUAAUGAGAUAAAAACACCAAUCUUCUCUAACUUUAAUUAUUUGAUUGUGAUAAUAUUAUUGACCCUACUUGUCUCUUUUGAAUGUAUAGUUUGUGACCGUAUCACCUAAAAUAAACAAUAAUCAAGCAUAUCAUACUUAUUCUCAUUUCUCGAACACAAAUAUAAUAUGGAAAGACAUUAUUUACACAUUUGUUCCAAACUUGCUGAUGACUAAUCUAAAAUCAACUAUUCAUUUUUAUAAGUUUUCUUCGGCUCUCUUCUUGUUCAUAUUAUUUGUUACUCACCGACAUAUAUUAUUAAUCUUCAAAAUAAGUUACUCUCAACUGAUAAAUAAUUUACAAGGUUAAUGUAUCUAUUAAAAGAAGAAAAAAACUUGGUUAAUGGUUACCUUCCUGAGAAACAUAUAGAAGGAUGCUGUGGCAGAAUUGCUUUUCACAUCAACAGACUUAGAAUGAUACCAGAGGACUGAAGCAAGAACAGCAUGUGCAGAAACCUAUAACAAAAAGUGAGAAUGAACGUCAAACUUCAACAAAAAUAUCAAAUCACCAACCAUGUUCACAUUCAUUAGAUAUAUCAGUCUUGGAGGUAUGUGACAAUUUGAUAAAUUUUGGAGCAUACUGAGCUUAAUACUCGAACAUAAUGUCAAUACAUAUAUAAAACACAGGAUAUAUUCCAUGCAACAGUGUUUACUUUUGCAAGGGAGAAAUUUCCUUAUUUAGAAACCCGAUACACACCAUAUAUGCAUCAGUUAAGGAGAAACACUCUUUAAGAAGUGAAACACAAAUCCACAAUACCUUAAAGAAACUUAUUUAUGAUAAAUCAAGGAUACAAGACCAAGUCCUCUGAGAUUAUACAUAAGAAGAACGUCCCCUCUUCUGAUCCAAAUGCACUGACAAAGAUUGAAUGCCAAAUUUUCAAUCUCCUUCAUUGUCAAGUAUAUCCUUUACGAAAGUCAACAUAGAGUAAUUUUACUUUCACAUCGAGUACACAUGUAUAAUUUAAGAAAACAGGAAGCUUUUAUCCUUUUACCUUGAACAAUGCUAAAACUAAAGAGAAGAAACUCAAGAAUGCUGUAGAAAAAAUCUAUGAUCCAGGAAGCAUAGUUGGCCUCUUUAACACAGAGGUCUGUAUAUUUAAUAUUAUGCACACAUAUUAGUAGCCAAAAACAUUUGGCUUUGUAGGAUGGUUUCUUUGCUGCCAGACAUUUGUUGCUGCAAUUAUGUGUACAGAAGCUAAUUGAUGCACAUAUGCAUUACAACUGAGGGCGCCUUUUAGAAAGACAAACCACCUGCAUAUGAAGAAAAAAGGCAAGUUGAAACAUUAUUCUAUGAACAACUACAAUGCACAUGGUUGCAAGCACUGCAAUUCUCUUCCUUCUCAACAGGGGUAGCUGCGAAAUUUUAGAGACCCGAGUAAUGGAAAAUAAAUGUAGUCACUAUCAAACAAAGUUUCUGAACAGAGGCUUUGGAGAAGCUUAAAUUCAAAUAUAACUACUGAAAAAGAAAAAAAGUGUCACAUAAUUUCAAUCCUUAAAGCUUUCCUCCAAUACCAAAGUUUUCCUCCUAACAGGAAAAUUAAGUGUAAGUACACAUGUUGUUUAACAUUUACUGCAUAAGGUUCACUGGAAUCUGAUAAAGCACGGUAAAAUUAUAGUUAUAGAAAAUGAACAAAUCGUACAAUGACCAUUAACAAUUAUGCCCUAAAUAACCAGGGGGGAAAUGAAGUGUAUAUGCCAUCAAAAUAAACUUACAUCGAUUGAAUAAGCAGUCCCCAGCAAUGGAAUUCAAAAUAGAAACAGUGAAACAGAGGAGCUUCUACGAUGCCUCCGGUGACCACUGGCUUUGUUGGCACCAAUGACAUUGGUGCGCGAUGGAGUAUAGUGGUUAGGGUUUUGCAUUUUCGCUUCUGGUUCGAUCUGGGGUUCUGCGUUUGUGAAUGAGGGAGGCGCGAGAGAACGAACAACGAAAUGCUUUUUUGGGUUCUGAAUCGCAGGUUCAUGGAGUCGCCGUGGUGCUUCAUGGUUGACGGCGACUCCACUGCAGGUUUUGGAAUUCAGUGUUGCAGGUGCGUUGCGAGGUUGAGGAAGAUGCAGACACGGAGGUUUAACGGCGCUGUGAUGGUCGUUGACGGUGAUUUUGGUUGACGCUAAGGGUUUUCCAUAGUUUUGCAUAAUAAGCUACGUUGACUCCGUUUUCUAAUAUUUUUGUCAUUUUAUAAAUGUUUUAUUUUUUCACUGUAACCUGCAAUUUCAGUUGCCACACUACCUACUGAUCACGUGUGAUCUAAUCAUUGUAUCAUAGUAAUUAUUGGACUGCCACUAAUGCUGGUAACAGUAAAAGGAUAAAGAUACUCUGAGACCCAAAUUCUAACAAAUUUUUGACAUCGGACACGUGUCAUAAGUUAAUUGGUCUGUGUGUUUUAAUUUUUUUAAACAUUAAACACACAUACCAAUUGACUUAUGACACGUGUCCGGUGUCAAAAAUUUUUUAGAAUUUAAAUGUCAAAGUAUCAUUAUCCAUAAUAAAAUUGUACUAUCAAAUGCUUGAGAUAAAUUAUUAAUCAAGUGAUCACACUGAUAUGAUUACUAAAUAUAUAUUUAUGAUUUAAUUGGAAUUGCAAAUAACUAACUAAUUAUAAGCAUCAUUACUAAUAUUUUUUAAUUUACUUUUUUUUUUCAUUUCUUAUAAAAUGUUGCCUUCUUAACUCUAAUUAUAAGCUCUCUAAUGAUACUUUAUCUAUUGAAAUUUCUUCUAUAAUUAUGUACAAAUGCAUCAAAGAGAAUCUACGUUCUACUCUAUUUAAAAUAUUCUCAAACACGAUAAUUAAUCUAUAAAAAAUAUUAUUACUUUGUUAAAUAAUCAAAAUUAAAUGAAUUUAAAUUAAAUAGUUAAACUUGAAAAAUUACCUUUUUUUUAUCCAAAAUAAAUAUUCUUGACAAUUAAUUUUCUCAAUAUCAACACUAUCACUAACAAUUGAUCAAGGUUGUCUUCAUAUAACAACCAUCUAUGCCAAUAAAAAUCAUCUACGCCAAUAAAAGAUCUGUAACUACCUAAGAACUUCUCUUUAUAUAUCUUUAAACACAUGUAAAAAUACUUAAACCUUAAUGAUAAAAUAGGUUGAAAGGUUAAUUAAAGUUAAUUUUAAAAGUUCCUGCUUUAACUCUUAACAAUUUAGCAAUAUAAUCAUACAUAUGACCAUAUUACUGUUUUACAUCUCUCACUAAAAAAAUUCAUUACAAAUUGUUUUGCUUUUUCAAUCUUUCAAAGUAUUAUUUCAACAUUGUAUGUUUUUUUUUUAUUUUAUCGAUGAUUUGAUUAUCGGCCAUGUUAACCUUAUUUAUAAAUUUGUUUGUCAAUACAUGAUUUUGUUAAAAUAAAAUAUAAAAUGAUUUCGAAAAAUAAAUAAAUGGAAAAUAAGUAUUUUAACUUUUUUUUAAAAUAUAUAAUAAUAACAAUAAAUGAAUCAAAAGACAAAAUAAAAAUAGAAUAAAAUAUAAAUUAAGUUAAAAUAUAUGUGUAUAAUGUUUUUUUUAUAUAGCAAAAUUCAGAAUUAUUAAAAAUAAAAAAGGUGUUAAGGUAAGAUAGUAAAAAAACAGAGGAAAAAGUUAAAAAAAAAAAAACAAGGACGAUUUAAUGCAUUUUUCAGAAAAAAGUUUCCACUCAUACAUAUGUGGCAUUUUUUUUUUUUUCUUUUUUCCCUCCGCAGGGAUUUAUCACGCGGGAGGCACGAGAUGGGGUUUUUAAGCAUAGCAGCUGAAGUGUGUCACAAGGAAUGAGAGUCAGAUCACCGUGAAAAACUAGCCCUAUAGUACUAUAUAAACCUGUUUUUUUAGUUAUUUUGGGGGAUUAUUUUGAAAAAAGAGAGAGCACGAAGGGAAACUGAAGAAAAAGAGAGAAAAAGGAAAAAAUUUCGGGAAGAAAGUUUGAGAAAGGCAGAGAAAGAAAGAAGCGAGAAUCGGAUUGGCCUCUCACGACGAAGGUUUAUUACCUAAUUCUCUUAUUCCUUAAUCAAAUUGUUUGAUCACUGCGUGUUUGUCAUACUUUAUUUUAUUAUUUAUUCUAUCCCCUCUGCGAUAAUGUCCUCUUUCCUGCAAAUCCUGUGCACAAUUUCUUGGCAUUAUUGUGAUAAGUUAUGGUUUGAUUCUGUUAUAUCAUUCUGUAUUCUGUUGAUUCCUGAUUACAAAAUGAACUAGAAAUAGUAAAAAAUCAUAAACAAAAAAAAAAAUAGAGAUAAGGUGUGAAGUAAGUCACUAAUCACCCGUUCUCCUCUGUCACAGUUGAGAGAGAAGGUGUGAAGUAAGUCACUAAACGUUGUGCCUCUAUUUUCUUCUUCCUUGGAAUCCCUGUUCUCUGCAUUGGCUCAGGAUGACAUCUCCUGAGAUCCUUUCGUUCAUGGAGCUAGCCAUACACCAGGUAAUGCUUUGCAAACAUUUUUAUAUGCGCCAUUAAUUUCUGCAAGUAUGCCUCCUGCAGGUAGGGUUGUUUUCUUUUCUGUAGGUGAUAAACACCAUUCAUACUUUUUUCAGAAAUUAACUGUAUAUUCAAUAGUUGCCUAUGUGGUUUCUUUGGUUAUUGAUCUUUAUGACUCAUCAAAUUGGAAAUGAUGGGAGGCGGUGGAGUAAGUUGGUGCUAGCUUUUAGUGGAACACAGUGUUUGUCUUCUUCAUGACCGCUGUUGUUGCGUUCAAACUGACAAUUUAACCCAUCUAUCUCCCUGACUAUGUUGAUUCUGCUCUCCUUACGUUCACCAUGUAAUCUAUGCAGAAAUGUAUAUUCUUUCUCUUUUAUUAUUAUUAUUAUUAUUAUUAUUAUUAUUAUUAUUAUUAUUAUUAUUUAUAAGAAGGCGAGCCUUAACACAGCGGUAAGGUUGCAUACAGCGACCCUCCCUUGUACCUUUUCAUGGCGAGGAGCCCUCUAGCAUUGUGGAACUCUAGUUUUGUUGUUGUUGUUAUCGUUAUUAUCAUUUCAUUGGAUUUAACUGUUUUUAUUUCUUUUAAUUACUCUUAUUUAUGUGACAGGCGAGGUUAGCUUUGGAUGCUCUUGAAGUGCCUGUUGGGUAAGUUACCUUCACAAUUUCAUGUUACUUGAAUAUCAUUGGAAGUGUAACUUGUAAUUGAUAAAGGUGUUGUUAGGAUUGGAAAGUGUUAGGCAAGGGUGUUGACUGUCAUUCACAUUCAUCACUGGUGCUGGUUGAUUGCGUUAAGACAACGAAAUGCAUUCUAUGGUAAUAGGAUAUUUAGUUAGAUAGUUGAAAUCAGAAAAUAUUUUAGUUUUUUUCUCUAUUGUCAGGAAGAAGGGAGGGUGAUACUGUUUUUAAUGUUGAAGAUGACUGUCCUCCUUGGACAUAAAUAAACAUAGCUAAAGAAAUGCAUAGGAGAGUGUGAGCUAAAUGGGUGUCGGUGCUGUGAUGACUGUAUACGUGACAAAAGAGGUUGUAAUAAGUUGCUUAAACUUUUAAUUGGAUUUUGGAAAUGUGAGAAGACUUGCAUGACUCCUAUUUAAAAGACAAGGUACCGAUUAAACAGAAAUUUAAUUACAUGCAUCAGUUUUUAAAGUCAUUUCAAGUCAAUACCAAUGGGAUUUAAUGAAUCAAUAACAGAGUUGUAAUGACUCUCGACUAAAAGUGUUAGAAGUCUCAUAUUGAGUAGGAUAAGCUACUUGAUGUGAUACUUAAGCUUUAGGGUUUUCCCAAUAGUGAACUAGUCUUUUGGGUUGGACUGUCCUCUUGUACUUAAAUCCUAGUAGUUGGUGUUUUUAUUAAGAGUUGGAUUAUGAAAAGGGCUACCUACGGGUUGGAUUAAGGUGCAAACUGAAUACUGAUAGGUAAUUAAAUCCCUUACAGGGAAAAAGGGUACCAUCGGGUCAAUGUUGAUACAAUGAGGUCUUCGUGGACGUCAGCCUUAAAGGGGAUGUAGUGUUAGGUGCCCACAUCGAGUAGGCUAAACUAUUUGAUUUGAUACGUAAGCCUUUAGGUUCUCUCACUUAAUGGACUACUAAUCAUUUUGCUUGAACUCUCCUCUUAUGCUUUAAGUCCUAACUGGAAACAUGCUACGGGAUUGGUCAAAUCAAUGUAUUCUAAACGGGCAUGUUUGAUUAUCAUUGAUCUCUUAUGUAUUGUACCAAAUCCAAUCCGUUGAACUGCUUUUUGAAUUUAGAUAUGGAUGCCCAUUUUCAUUGGUCUUUUUAUUUUGGAGAAAAAAUAGGAAAAAACAAAUUGAGCUAUUGGCAUCUACAUUGGAUUAGCAUGUACAUUCCGAGAUUAAUUUGUUUAGUAAUAAUGGCUUAUUGUUUUCUCCUUUAACAUCAUAGUAACCUUAAGAACAUUGAGCAUUUAACAUUUUCUUGUAAUUCCUGGUAUACUUCCUAUCAUUUGUUGAGUGUAAAAUUGGCUGAAGUAAAUCUUUGUUCAUUAGUCAUCUUGAUUGUAUUCUGCAUUGAAUCAAUUGGAGAGACUAUGUCUAUCAUCUCAUUGGAUCAUUAUUGUUUUGGUUUACUCUUUUUAUAUAAACUGUGGUAUUUGUUGGCAGAUGUGUAAUUGUUGAGGAUGCCAAGGUAAUAGCCUCAGGCAGGAACCGAACUACUGAGACACGAAAUGUAAUUUGAUCAAUGAUCUCUUUUCUGUUUUCAUGCAUAUAUUUUCGAUCAUUUGGUUUAUAUUUAGCUGUUCCUUUAAUAAUCUAUUUGUUGUUUAGCUUCUCCUAUUACAUAUCAUCAUCAAACUGCUUUACGUGCGCUUUGUUACUUAAAACAAGCUCCUGGUUUAGGUCUGUUACUUCAUGCAAAGAGUGAUACUAAAAUCGCUAGAUUCAGUGUCUCUGACUGGACUAUGUCCAGACAUAAGGAAACCUAUCACAGGCUUCAUCAUCUAUCUUUGACACUAGCCUAUCAGUUGGAAGUCAAAGAAUAAUCAAAUGAUUGAAUAGCACCAGCUAUGCUGGCCGAAUCGAGCUGGCCCUCAAGUUGGCCGAGCUAGCCGAACUGUUUAUUAGCCUGGCGUGUUUUCUAUUAUUUCCGGUUUUUUUUUUUUUUUUUUUUUUUUUNNNNNNNNNNNNNNNNNNNNNNNNNNNNNNNNNNNNNNNNNNNNNNNNNNNNNNNNNNNNNNNNNNNNNNNNNNNNNNNNNNNNNNNNNNNNNNNNNNUAUAUAUAUAUAUAUAUAUAUCCUCUUCUGAUAUUCAGCACAUAACAUCUUCAAGAUUCAGAAAUAAUAUUUCUUUCGUUCCUUUCUUUUCUCUGUUCAUGCUUCUUUCUUUUAUCAUAAUCAACUAUGGAUGUCUUGUUAUUAUCAGGCUACAAGGCAUGCAGAAAUGGAAGCUAUAGACCUGCUUCUUGGGCAGUGGCAGAAAAAUGGACAUUCAAUGUCUGAAAUUGCUGAAAAAUUCUCAAACUGCAGUCUUUAUGUUACCUGUGAACCAUGCAUAAUGUGCGCAUCUGCUUUAUCAAUUUUAGGUAUGCUUCUUCUAGUCUUGAGUUGAACAAUCCAUUGCAGUUGCAUUGCACUCUUUAUAUUGUCAUUUCUAAUUCAUUGGUUUGUGUAUUAUUUCAGGUAUAAAGGAAGUAUUUUAUGGCUGUUCAAAUGAUAAAUUUGGAGGGUGUGGAUCGAUACUGUCCUUGCAUUCAAGUAACACCACAACAGUCAAUAAGUAUGUCUCUUAACUCAGCACCAUCUAUGCAAGCCUUGUCUUGAUCUAUUCUAUCAUUACUAUUAUUAUUAUUAUUAUUAUUAUUCAUUAUUAUUUUGUAGGUGCAUGUCAUUUACUAUUAUAAUUUUUACUUCGUCAGGAAAAUUAUUAAUUGUUGUUUAUUGUCUUUCUUUCUUACAUCUGUCUGCUAAUAAUAUAUAAACAAAUAAUUCUUAUUUUUCUUAUAAACAGUGAAGUUCCAUCAGGAAAGAAUUUCAAAUGUACUGGAGGUAUAAUGGCAUCAGAAGCUGUUCUUCUCUUUCGAACAUUCUAUGAGCAAGGAAAUCCCAAUGGCAAGUUACUUUGGUCCUUUCUCACUAGCACACAAAACCUUAUAAAGCUUUAUGAUAUUGUUGAUAUGUGUUCCAUAUAGCCCAUAUUAAUAAAUAAUACUUAUGCUCUUUCUAUUUCUUCUCAGCUCCAAAGCCACACAGGCCUUUAGCACGUCAGACAUGAAGUGUAAUUCGUAUAUCAUCAGGUGGGUUUCCGUCAUUUCUGUGUACAAGGUUUUUGGUUAUGUAAAGCUGAAAGACGUUUUUUACUUAUCCAUUGGUUUGAAUUUCUAUUUUGUUUUCUAAUAUUUAUUGCUGUUGUUGAUAUAGUAUCUGUUAUGAACUGAGAAUCUGUACUACCUUGGCAUAUUGAGCGGAUUCAAGCUGGUGUUGAAUGUCAUACAAGACCUUUCAAUUCAAAAAUCAACUUGAUGUGUAAUUUAAAACAAUUUCUAGAAAGACGAAUCACAUGUUGUCGUUCUAACUUAUUCAUACUGGAGGUUCAAACUAGUUGCAAAAUGGAAUUUAAUCUAUUCAUUUUUGUUAAAUAAUUUUUAGUUUCUGGAAGGUGCAGUGAGUUUCCUUUUUAUUGUAUACUUAAUUCCUAUUUAUGGUCUAAUUGAUAAAGGAGAUCGAAUAGCAUAAUAAGAAUUGUUAUAAAAAUUGUGUUAUAAAUAUAUUGCAAAAAAUAUAUCCUUUAUUUGAAUUUUUUUGGCUGAACUUGUUCCAAUGAGUCAUAUUCCGCAGGAGCAAGUCUUUUUAACUUCAGGUGCAAGGCUGCAGAGAGUUGGUUUUGAACUUUGUGUGCCUUUUCCCAAGUCAUGGGAUUUUGGCCCAUGACUACUCUCCUCCUCCGUCUAUAAAUACAUGUCAUUUGGUUCCUUCGAAAGAUAUAGUGCACAGACUUUUCUUCCCUCCUCUUUCAUCUUUUCUUUUUUCUCAAUUUAUUAUUUUAGGUUUAGUAGUUUAUUCUUUUUAAAAUUUUUUGCUAAUUUUGAUAUUUUUGAAAAAUUAGAGAAAUUCUUGAUGUCGUCUUGAAUCUAUACGUCCUAAGAAUUAAAUUUUGUUUGUGUUUCUGUCGGUAUUUACAAGAAAAAUUACUAUUUAGACUUUCUUUUUGGGGAAGGGCUUAUUCAACCUAUAAUAAUGAGUAUACAUAUUCUUUAUCUACCUUAUAAUUUAAAAGUUCUACACAGAAAAUAUGUACUCCAUUAUUGUGUUGCUAUUGUUUUAAAGUAAGGUUUGUUACAUGAAUGUAAUUAGUAUUUUAAAACGAGAUUUAAUUUUACUUUUAGCUUUAAUAAGAUUUUUCGGUUAUCUGACCAGACUUAAUUUAUUUCGUGGUUAAGCAAGAUUAGUUCGGGACAAAGUCUCAAGACUCUGAUAAAUCGGGGUUAUUGUUUCUUAUAAGUAUGCUAAUUUUGCUCAUGAUACUGUAUAAAAUAAUUUUCCUUUUGUUUCUUCAUAUAAUUGUUAUUAGGCUUAAUUAAAUUAUAUAUUCCUUAUAAAAUUAGGUAUUUAAGUGUCUGUUAAUUAUUAUUUUUUUUGUUUUAUUAAGUAUUUAAAAUUUUUAUAUGUUUUAAUAGAUGCAAGAUUUUAUAAAUAAUAUAAAAUUAUAUUGUGAUUAAUGUAAAAUAAUAAAUAAUUUGUAUUGUUUUCACUGAAAAUAUGUUGAAGAAUAGAUAUGACGAUAAGAGUUUUUUUAUUAUCAUUGUAGAUAAUAACAUUAAAUAAUAUAUUCAUUAUCCGAUGUGUUUUAAUUAAAAUAAUAAAAACUAUUUAUUGUUUUAUAUUAAUUAUAAAAUUUUACAUGAUAACAAAUAAGUAAAAUAGUAAAAAAAAAUAAUCACAUUAUUAAUUAACUAAAAUAGAUAAUAAAUACUUAAUUAAAAAUAUAAAAUCGUUGAGUACUCAAUAAAAAUAUUAAUAUGAAGUCAAUUAUACGUAAAUUUAUGACAAUCUUAAAAUAUUAAUUAAGUUUUAUAUUAUUGCUAUUUUUUCCCUAGCAUUUACAUAUAUUUAUUAAAUAAUUGUUCCCCUACCUCCUCUUUUUUUCCUGCACCCCAUAAAAUGUAUCAUCCUCAUUUUACCAUGGAAUAAACUGUAUUAAAAUGGACUGCGACGUCAUUCAUAGCGUCGAUAUUUAAAGGGUGCCGCCACGCUGAAGAAGGCUCUCGGGAAGUCAACGGUGUUUGUGCUCCAUAAGAUAUUUUCCAAAUCAUUACUUUCGAAAUAUUCAAUCUAAAAAGUAUUAAAAAUAAAAAAAUGUAUUAAUUUUUAUUAUAUUUUCAAGGAGGAAUAAUUUGGAGAAUAUAUAUAUAUAUAUAUAUAUAUAUAUAUAUAUAUAUAUAUAUAUNUUUUUUUUUUUUUUUUUCUUGUGAUAUAGAUUAGAGUAGCACAUUGAUAGAUAAGCUUUUUUACAGUUUUGUUUUGCUCAUGGUCUUUAAUAAAUUAGUACAUUUUAUUUUUUUUGUCUUAAAUUUUUUAUUUUGGUUUUUAAAUUAAAUUUGUAUUGUUGCUUAUUGACAUUUUCAAAGUAAUUAGUGUUUAUUAAGUUACUGUAUUAUCAGUAGGACUGGUGUGUUUGUAAUUACGUUUUUUAAAUAAAAAAAAAAAAGAAUAAAUCAAUGUGAUGAAUAUAAUGUUGUUUUUAUUUCUUACUUCUUUUUUCAGUAUUCUCUAUUUAAAGGUGAACUUCAAAGAAGAUGAAAAUCAAUAAGUAUAUGUUUUUUGCUAUUCUCUAUCUUCUUUUGGUCACACUAUUUAAAAAAAAAAAAAAGAGGUUGCAAAUCUUAAUGGAAAAAAUAUUUUUCUAUAUCAUAAUGACAAAUGGAAGUUUAAAACUUUCUCCCUCUCUACACGCGCACAUAAUUAAACAACAAAUAGUAAUAAAGAAAUAAGACAGUGUUGUUGCAAGUAUUCAAGACAUAGUUCAAAUAUAUAGUGGAUUAAUAAACUAAAUACUAUAUAUAGUCUAAUAGGUUAAAGAAUCGGUAUAAUAUUAAAAAAAAAACUCAAUAAAUAAAUUAGUAAAUAUUUUUAAUAUUCUUAAAUCAGUAUAAUAUUUGUAUACAUUAUUAUCUUGUUCUUUUUCUUAAGUUUGAACAACAAAAUAUUUCAUCAGAACAACAUUAUUCACCAAAAAAAGUUAUUAACUAUAUAGACUAAUGUCGAUAUUGCCUUUAAAAUGAUAAAUCCUUUCACUAAUGAAGCAUUUUAUAUUUUACUAAAAAGUGACAAAAUUGAUGUUAAAGAAUAAUUCAUCAAAUUUAUUUAGAAUUUUAUUAUUUAUCAUAUCUUGAGUCUAAUUCAAUUCCAUGAAAUAAUUUGUAAUAUAAACUUUGCAUUCAUUUAUAUACAUAAAAUUUAUUGAGAAUUCAUGUUAUUUAUCAUUUUUGUUAUUGAUUGUAUCUUUAUUAGAUGUGGGACUUCUAAUAUAUAUUUAUGUAUAUAUAUUCGUUGAGAAAUGUUAAUUAUAAGUAUUUUAUCAUUGGAAGAGUUGAGCUCGUGACAUUUUUGCUUUCGAACGGAUCAAACAAACUUUAUAAUUUCUAAAUAAUAGAAGAAAGAGUAAAACCUUAUAAAUUUCUAAGUUUUUUAAGUUAUAUAACAUAGAAUUAACAACCCUAAUCAGGAUUUUGAUUUACUGAUUAAAUUGGUCAUCGAAAACCUAGGAGGAUUCAAUAAAAUUUAUAAAUAUUUAAUGUCAAUAUAAUUUUUAUAAUUUGUAAGAUCUUUUAAUAAAUACUGUCGAAUUUCGUUUUUGAUAGAUUUAAACAGAUAAUUAUGGAAGCAGACAAAGCUGAUUAUUUGGUUUGCCAUAUUGGAGAAUUGCAUAAUAAGUGUGAAACAACUGAAAAAGUCAAACGCAAAACUUGCCGGAAUUAUUUAAAAUGUCCUUUCUUAUAAUUCAUUUUGUUUCUUUCUUCCCAAUAAUCACCAUAUUUUAUGCUCUCUGAAAACUGAUUCAUCUUCUCAAACACGCUAACAUACUGUAUAGAGUAUUGACUGUGGCUUAAAAUGUAUACACAUAACCAAAGAACUUUCAUAUAUAUAUAUAUAUAUAUAUAUGGGGUUUGCUAACUUGCGUACGUCUGUUUUUCAGUUGGUACAUUUUAGCAAUGUAUACCGGGCUUCAGUAGACAAAAAUGCCCUUGUAUAUUAUGAAUUCUAAGUUUUAAGGUUAAGGGUAUUUUAAUAAUUUUCAUUCUCAAAAUUAAAAAAAUAAAAAAAGAAACCCCCAAACCCUUACCCACUUCUCUCAUUCCUCUCAACCCUUUCUGUUAACUCCAACCUUUUUUCUCUGUCAUCCCUACUCUAACCCCAAUUGAAAAAAAAUCAGAAACACUUGCCUUGUUUUAAUAAUUUUCAUUCUCAAAACUAAAAAAAGAAACCUCAAACCCUUACUCACCUCGUUCAUUCCUCUCAACCCUUUCUCCUUCAUCUUUCUCACUCAAACAUUUUCUUUGUCAUCUCUGCACUAGCCCUAAUUAAAAAAACACUCAUUAUUAAACAAUUUACUUUUGUAAAGAGUUGAGUCAUUGACAUAUUCACCUUCUGAAACAAGUUCAUUCAAAAUCUCUUUAAUUUCAUUAUCUUCACUAUAUAUAUUACAGCCCACAACUUGCACCAAGACUUAUGAGCAUCCUUCCUUUACAUUCAAAGACUACUACGUAACAUUGCUUCAUGAUCAUUUAAUCUUUUUUGGUAGAAAUUCAUUAACUUGUUUUCUUUACUAAAGAAAAAACAAAUCAAAAUACAAUAAAAUUCUUAACGAUAAAAUCAAACAAUAAAAAUUCUAAAUCUUGAAAUUUUAUUUAAAAUUAUAUAAAGAAAAAAUUAGGUGCUUUAAUUUUUUUAUUUAUGUAAGUAUAUUUUGUUUUCUCUAACCAUUUUAUUUAAUAAUGAAUGUUUUUUUUGUGGGACUAGUGUAGAGAUGACAGAGAAAAUGUUUGAGUGAGAGAGAUGAAGGAGAAAGGGUUGAGAGGAAUGGAGGAGGUGAGUAAGGGUUAGGGGUUUCUUUUUUUAGUUUUGAGAAUGAAAAUUAUUAAAAUAAGGCAAGUGUUUCUGAUUUUUUUAAAUUCUGAUUUUUUUUAAAUUGAGGCUAGAGUUAGGGAUGAGAGAGAAAAUGUUAGAGUGAAAGAGAUGAAAGAGAAAGGAUUGAGAGCAAUGAGUGAGGUGGGUAAGGGUUUGGGUUUUUUUUUUUUAUUUUGAGAAUGAAAAUUAUUAAAAUAUCCUUAACCUUAAAAUUUAGAAUUCAUGAUAUAAGGGUAUUUUUGUCUACUGAAACCCGGUACACAUUGCUAAUAUGUACCAACUGAAAAACAGGCGUACGCAAGUUAGCAAACCCCUAUAUAUAUAUAUAUUUUCAUUUAGCCAGCUAGAGUGCAUGUUCUUGUAGAAAAAAGUGUACAAAAGUAUACACAAACAAUGACUUAGUAUCUGUGUAUGCCUCCCACUUACAAAACUAUUAGUUACAAACAAAAUGUCCCACAUUCCAACAUUGUCAACCUGUAUAAUCUUAAAUAUUUAGCUAUUUUAUAAAUUAUAAAAGCCUGUCAUUUUUCAUUUUAAAAUAUACACCAAUGACAUGACAAUUGGACCCUCAUUUUUUGUCCCAAAUACUCGGAUAAUAUAUAUUUUUCAUCCUCCUUGAAGAAAUUGUAUAACACACCGAUUCAUAAUUUCAUCUUGUCACAAUUCAUAAUUUCGUGUGAAACAAAUCUUCCAUUUGGUGUUUUUCAUCUUUUAUAAUAAUAAUAAUAGCUAGGAAUAUUUUAAAAUUCUUAAAUUUCUAUCAAUUAAAUAAUUCUUUUUAUUUAUUACAUCAAUCAAAUCUUACAUUAAUCUUUAUAAAUUUUAUUUUUAAAUUCAUUUUCAUUUACUUUCAAAUUUAUUUUCAUUUACUUUCAAAUCAACUUAAAUAAAAAACAAUUAAAUUCACUUUUAAAUCUUUUCAAAUUCAUCUACACAUUCUUCUCCAAAUCCUUUUUUUCCAAAGUAAACACACCCUUAAAUUUUACUCCAAUAAUAGAUUUUAUUUUGAAUUUUUAAGUAAUUUUUUUUAGUUCCACAAUUUACUUUCUUAUUUUAUUAUUUAAAGUACUAAUCAAAUCAAUUUAAAUUAUUUAAAAAUUAAAAUGCUUUUAAUCAAAUUUUACAAUGCGAACAUUAAAUUGAUACCAUUAAUAUAUAAAAGAACCGUAAAAAACUGAAUUCCAAAUUAUUAUUACUAAAAUUACUUACUUGUAAUAAAGUAAUGUAAUGUUAAAAGAUUUAAUACAUUAGAAAAGUUAAUACUAUAAUAAAAAUUUAAUUAAUGUUUCAACAUCAUACUUGUUUCGGUGGAAUUGGUCUGAGGGUUAGUUGACCUUCCUUCUAUGUUUCUUUUCUAUUGUUUUGAUAAUACAAUCCUCCGAUGGGUGGUUGACCUACAAAAGACACUCCGACGCUCAAGUCAGAUAUGUUGUAUAAAGAGGUCUAUCUUUUAUUUAAGAUAGCUUGAGAUCCUUUUACCUGAACGUGAAUAAUAUAUUUUAUAAGGCUCUGGUAGCCAAACACAUUGAUUAAUCAUUAAACUAGACAAUUAAAUUCAAUAAUAGCUGUUAAUUGUUCAUUAAUACAAGAUUUUUGUGCAAUAUGACCUGUCAAUCAUUCAUAAAUAACGUAUAUUCACAAUUAAUAUGACCAUUAAACAUAUUAAUUGAUCAUUAAUGAUUUUUAACUUUCUUGUUUGUCUGACCGCCGGUUGAUUGCCUGUUUUAACCCCAGAUUCUUUCUAACCGGUCGGUCACUAGAAUAUAAUACAAUACUUUUAGCUUAAAUUUAUAAUUUUUUUUAAUUAAAAUCGACUUAGUUACGGUGCAAUUUUCUUUAAACUUGAUUCUUAAUACUUAAUAUAUUUAUAUUAAUUAGAUAUUUAGUUAAUUUUAGUAGUAACCAAUCGAUUUUCUUGAGGUUCUGAGCAAUCAGUCACUUGCAUGAUUGUGUGACUCAUAUUGUAUAAUUAAUAUUGAAAUAAUCAUUUUAAAAAUCAUACUAUACAGUAUAAUGCAUGUGUAUACAUGAUUAUUCAUCAUUUUUAUGUAUCUAAUUAAUGACUCACCGGACUACUUAUAAUUGCAAAUUGCAAAUUGAGAUUAUACCACAUCAAUUACUCUUUCAACAUCUUUUCUAACUUUUUCACAAUUUGUAAACAACCAGUCUUAUAGCAAUCACAAUUACCAUUUUCAAAAUAACUACUCUUAUAUUUAUAGCAACACAGUAACAAAUAAAAACUUACUGACUAUUAAUUAAACUUCCACGUAAUAAAAUUAUAUAUUAAACUUGUAAAUAAUGUAUAAUUACACAUAACUUUGAAAACAGCUUCAGUCUAUAACUUGCACUUUGAUAUAUGUUUUCUAAAGAUUUUUGGAUAACGUAAUUUAUGAAUAUUCCUUCAAGAAGUUCAUAUUUGGCCUAUUAUUACUACACUUUGAAAAAUCUCUAAGCUUUUGCCAACAAAAGUGUGAACGUAUGGGCAAGUAAAUCAAGCAAAAUGGGCCACGAUGGCUUACUCAAACUCACAAACACUGUUUUUAAGCACCAUAUGUCAAACAAAGUCUUCAAAAAUGAUCUGGAUACAGAAAUUAAUUUAGCUUUCCACAAAUAUAGAAUCAUAUAUUCAUGUCGCAAAUUCAAACAUAAUUAAACUCAGAAAGGACAAAUUCCAUGUCAAACAAAGCCAAUUCUGUGCAUGUAUAAAUUUUGUACAGCAGCUGUAUAUAUUGGGAUGAAUAGUUCUUCGCAAAAUAGUAUAUAUGGUAGUUAAAGAGACUAAUCAGAUUAACUUAAGACGUGCAUCGAUCGAGCAGAAAACGUGUUAAUCAAAAGUAUUUUUAUUUCAUUGAUGUAUCAAAUCAAAUAAAUAAUACGUUGCUCUAACACAAAAAAUAAACAACACAUUAAAUAAUAAUAAUUGAACGAUCAAACUAAAAAUAAAGAAAUAAAUAGCAUUACAACAUAUCUUCCUAAAAUCGAUCAAAAUUUCGCCGCCUAGACUUUUUCUUUUUUAUUUAUUUAGGAUAAUAUACAUUAGCUUUCAAACUCGCUAAUUACAGCUUUCAAGUUAAAAAAAGAAUCCAGUUGCAGGGUGGAAUUGAUCAAAGAAUAUGUCGUGGUGAAAAAAAAGGCAUAAAGUAUACACACGAGAUGUUGAUUAAAACAAAUAAAGUAGGUUUACCGGCUUAAAAAGUAAUUAUACCGAGUCAAAAAAAUAAUUUUUUUAAGUCUGGAGUUAACAUUUGUCAAUGUGCGUUAGUUUACAAUAACAAGAAAAUAUGUCUUGUUACCUGAAGCAAUUUUCACCGACGAUAAAAGCAUAAUUUGAAGAGCAUAACAAAAAUAACUCAUGUUUUUAUAAUCCGAAUAUAUGGCAUUAUGAUUAGGAAGAAAGAACUAAAGCUAAUGAUAAAGAAAGACAUAUUAGAGAUUUCAGGAAGUGAUAUUGCCAUUUUGACUUUAUCAUCUGUUUCACACUCCACAGACAUAAGUUCUUGGUGAAAAGACAAACGAAAUAAACAGUUUCGUCUGCUGUAACGCGCUUCUGUAUAUAUUUGUUUAAAUGUAACAGGAGCUCAUUCAACCACGCCAUCACCUACUCUCUUCUUGACUUUCUUCACACCAGAGGAAAAUAUAUAUGAACUCGUUUAAUGGCAAACCAUAACAUCAAGUUGAAAUGUUAAAAUAAUAUAAAUAUAUAUUUUAAGACUUUAUGCCACUGUGUCAUCAAACAAAGAUAUCCUACCAGCAAUCACCCAAGCUAAACACUAUAUAAAGGCUUCUAAUCAAUACUUCGGGAACCAAGAAAGUAACACAAUAAGUGUUCUAAAGACAGCAACGUUUUCACAUUCAAAGAAGAUGGGAACGAGGCAAUGGCCUCGUUUGAUCAUUGCAUUCGCAAUUUGCCUAAUGGCUAUCAGUGUUGGUGCUGAUGACUAUAAGCCCACCUAUGGCGAACCAUGGAACAAUUAUCAACGCCCAUAUCAACAACAAAAACCUCCUUAUUAUUACAACUCACCUCCAUAUUACUACAAAUCACCACCACCACAAUCUCCAUCACCACCUCCUCCAUACUACUACAAGUCUCCACCUCCACCAUCUCCAUCACCUCCUCCUCCAUAUUACUACAAGUCCCCACCACCACCAUCUCCUUCACCCCCUCCACCAUAUGUCUAUAAGUCACCACCACCUCCAUCUCCAUCACCUCCUCCUCCAUACUACUACAAGUCCCCUCCUCCACCAUCGCCCUCACCACCUCCUCCGUAUUACUACAAGUCCCCACCACCACCAUCUCCUUCACCCCCUCCACCAUACGUGUAUAAGUCACCACCACCUCCAUCUCCAUCACCUCCUCCUCCAUAUUACUACAAGUCCCCACCACCUCCAUCUCCAUCACCUCCUCCACCAUAUGUCUACAAGUCACCACCACCUCCCUCCCCAUCACCACCUCCUCCAUACUAUUACAAGUCCCCGCCCCCACCAUCUCCCUCGCCACCUCCUCCAUAUUACUACAAAUCUCCACCCCCACCAUCUCCUUCACCUCCUCCACCAUACGUAUAUAAGUCACCACCACCUCCAUCUCCUUCACCUCCUCCACCAUACUACUACAAGUCCCCACCUCCACCAUCUCCUUCGCCUCCUCCACCAUAUGUAUAUAAGUCACCUCCACCUCCAUCUCCAUCACCUCCUCCUCCAUAUUACUACAAGUCCCCUCCUCCACCAUCACCCUCACCACCUCCUCCAUAUUACUACAAAUCUCCACCUCCACCAUCUCCUUCACCUCCUCCACCAUAUGUUUAUAAGUCACCACCACCUCCAUCUCCAUCACCUCCUCCUCCAUAUUACUACAAGUCCCCGCCCCCACCAUCACCUUCACCACCUCCUCCAUAUUACUACAAAUCUCCUCCUCCACCAUCUCCUUCACCUCCUCCACCAUAUGUAUACAAGUCACCACCACCUCCAUCUCCGUCACCUCCUCCUCCAUAUUACUACAAGUCCCCACCCCCACCUUCUCCCUCCCCUCCUCCUCCAUACUACUACAAGUCUCCACCCCCACCAUCACCUUCACCACCACCUCCAUAUUACUACAAGUCCCCACCCCCACCUUCUCCCUCCCCUCCUCCUCCAUACUACUAUAAGUCCCCGCCUCCACCAUCGCCUUCACCUCCUCCACCAUAUUAUUAUAAGUCACCACCACCACCUUCACCUUCACCACCUCCUCCGUACGUAUAUAAGUCUCCCCCUCCACCUUCUCCAUCACCUCCUCCACCGUAUUACUACAAGUCACCACCUCCACCAUCUCCUUCACCUCCUCCACCAUAUUACUAUAAGUCCCCACCUCCUCCUUCACCUUCUCCUCCUCCACCAUACUACCCCUACUUGUAUAACUCACCCCCGCCUCCUGCAUAUUAAGCUUCUGGCUAAAUCAAUUUAUUUUUUUUCCAAUAAAUCAAGUUGAACAUUGUUGCAGUUGUUUUGUAAUUACUCAUUCAUUAAUAAUAGGGUUUACACUGAAGUGGGAGUUGUAUUCUUACUGUAGUGUAACCCAUGCGUUUGUAUUGGUUUUAAUUGAGAAGUGUGUAAUAUAUUCUCUUUUUAUAAAUAUACAUUAUUACCACAGAUGUUGGAUUCCGUUUUCUCUUUUCAUAACAAAAUUACGAUCACCAUGAAAUUCACGA